AUUGAACGCUGGCGGCAGGCCUAACACAUGCAAGUCGAACGGUAACAGGAAGAAGCUUGCUUCUUUGCUGACGAGUGGCGGACGGGUGAGUAAUGUCUGGGAAACUGCCUGAUGGAGGGGGAUAACUACUGGAAACGGUAGCUAAUACCGCAUAACGUCGCAAGACCAAAGAGGGGGACCUUCGGGCCUCUUGCCAUCGGAUGUGCCCAGAUGGGAUUAGCUAGUAGGUGGGGUAACGGCUCACCUAGGCGACGAUCCCUAGCUGGUCUGAGAGGAUGACCAGCCACACUGGAACUGGGACACGGUCCAGACUCCUACGGGAGGCAGCAGUGGGGAAUAUUGCACAAUGGGCGCAAGCCUGAUGCAGCCAUGACGCGUGUAUGAAGAAGGCCUUCGGGUUGUAAAGUACUUUCAGCGGGGAGGAAGGGAGUAAAGUUAAUACCUUUGCUCAUUGACGUUACCCGCAGAAGAAGCACCGGCUAACUCCGUG
This 490-nucleotide ribosomal RNA is filed under the name uncultured bacterium. RNAcentral's name for it is "partial 16S ribosomal RNA". It matches the Rfam family "Bacterial small subunit ribosomal RNA", at positions 30 to 507 of the family's 1533-position model. The record is from RNAcentral.